RNAcentral lists this ribosomal RNA (355 nucleotides) under uncultured Geobacter sp. RNAcentral's name for it is "bacterial SSU rRNA". It matches the Rfam family "Bacterial small subunit ribosomal RNA", at positions 125 to 466 of the family's 1533-position model. The record is from RNAcentral. Lineage: Bacteria; Pseudomonadati; Thermodesulfobacteriota; Desulfuromonadia; Geobacterales; Geobacteraceae.
UCUGCCUUGGACUCUGGGAUAACAUCUCGAAAGGGGUGCUAAUACCGGAUAAGCCCACGAUGGCGUAAGUCAUUGCGGGAAAAGGGGGCCUCUGAAUAUGCUCCUGAUUCAAGAUGAGUCUGCGUACCAUUAGCUAGUUGGUAGGGUAAGAGCCUACCAAGGCGACGAUGGUUAGCUGGUCUGAGAGGAUGAUCAGCCACACUGGAACUGAGACACGGUCCAGACUCCUACGGGAGGCAGCAGUGGGGAAUUUUGCGCAAUGGGGGAAACCCUGACGCAGCAACGCCGCGUGAGUGAUGAAGGCUUUCGGGUCGUAAAGCUCUGUCUAGAGGGAAGAAAUGAUAGUCGGUUAAUA